CCCGGGCCGCUGGAAGCGCAAAAGUGGCCGCGCUCGGCGGGGGGCGGAGUCUCCUGACAAUUCCCUGCUGCCCGCAGCUCUGAUUGGCGGCUGCAGUAGCCUGGGCGGGUGCAGGCGUCUGUCCUAAAGGCGUGGGGGGCUUGUCAGCCCCUCCAAGGCUUGUCUCCGCGCUCCGGACUUGCGGUGGUCACUGCAGCUUUGGACAGUGGCCGGGUAGGACGGCUCCGAGAAUGAAAAUGUGGUUCUUUGGGUGGGUGGUCUCGUUGAUCCUCGGGACUGUGCAUUGCCAGCAGCCCAGAGGGAAACUGACAACUGUGGAUCCUGAAGCAUAUAUGAAUGUGGUAAGUGCUCAAAGUUACCUGUUUUAAAAUGCAUUUGUGACAAGCGUUAUUUCCUUAAAUCCAAUUGUGUGGCCUAAGUUUUGCCACCAACUCUAAUCUCCAUCUAUCCCAUAUGCUUUUUACUAUCUCUGAAUCUUAGAUUCAGUUUGCUAAAUUUUUAUUUUAUCCAGGUAA
This 515-nucleotide long non-coding RNA is filed under the name Dasypus novemcinctus (nine-banded armadillo). Its description in RNAcentral is "lncRNA (ENSDNOG00000051051.1)". Lineage: Eukaryota; Metazoa; Chordata; Mammalia; Cingulata; Dasypodidae. The record is from RNAcentral.